AUUGAACGCUGGCGGCAGGCCUAACACAUGCAAGUCGAACGAGUGGCGGACGGGUGAGUAAUGUCUGGGAAACUGCCUGAUGGAGGGGUAUAACUACUGGAAACGGUAGCUAAUACAGCAUACCAUCGGAUGUGCCCAGAUGGGAUUAGCUAGUAGGUGGGGUAAAGGCUCACCUAGGCGACGAUCCCUAGCUGGUCUGAGAGGCUGACCAGCCACACUGGAACUGAGACCCGGUCCAGACUCCUACGUUAGGCAGCAGUGGGUAAUAGUGCACAAUGGGCGCAAGCCGGAUGCAGCCAUUCCGCGUGUAUGAAGAAGGCCUUCGGGUUGUAAAGUACUUUCAGCGGGGAGGCGUUACCCGCAGAAGAAGCACCGGCUAACUCCGUGCCAGCAGCCGCGGGAAUAC
This 406-nucleotide ribosomal RNA is filed under the name uncultured bacterium. RNAcentral's name for it is "partial 16S ribosomal RNA". It matches the Rfam family "Bacterial small subunit ribosomal RNA", at positions 30 to 526 of the family's 1533-position model. The record is from RNAcentral.